This 434-nucleotide ribosomal RNA is filed under the name uncultured bacterium. RNAcentral describes it as "partial 16S ribosomal RNA". It matches the Rfam family "Bacterial small subunit ribosomal RNA", at positions 29 to 507 of the family's 1533-position model. The record is from RNAcentral.
AGCGAACGCUGGCGGCAGGCCUAACACAUGCAAGUCGAACGAACCCUUCGGGGUUAGUGGCGGACGGGUGCGUAACACGUGGGAACGUGCCUUUAGGUUCGGAAUAACUCCGGGAAACUUGUGCUAAUACCGAAUGUGCCCUUCGGGGGAAAGAUUAAUCGCCUUUGGAUCGGCCCGCGUCUGAUUAGCUAGUUGGUUGAGGUAAUGGCUCACCAAGGCGACGAUCAGUAGCUGGUCUGAGAGGAUGAUCAGCCACAUUGGGACUGAGACACGGCCCAAACUCCUACGGGAAGCAGCAGUGGGGAAUCUUGCGCAAUGGGCGAAAGCCUGACGCAGCCAUGCCGCGUGAAUGAUGAAGGUCUUAGGAUUGUAAAAUUCUUUCACCGGGGACGAUAAUGACAGUACCCGGAGAAGAAGCCCCGGCUAACUUCGUG